Molecule: ribosomal RNA, 253 nt
Filed under: uncultured bacterium
Lineage: Bacteria
Description: partial 16S ribosomal RNA
Rfam family: Bacterial small subunit ribosomal RNA
Source: RNAcentral
UACGUAGGGGGCAAGCGUUGUCCGGAAUCAUUGGGCGUAAAGCGCGUGUAGGCGGUCCGGUAAGUCGGCUGUGAAAGUCCAGGGCUCAACCCUGGGAUGCCGGUCGAUACUGCCGGACUAGAGUUCGGAAGAGGCGAGUGGAAUUCCCGGUGUAGCGGUGAAAUGCGCAGAUAUCGGGAGGAACACCUAUGGCGAAGGCAGCUCGCUGGGACGUUACUGACGCUGAGACGCGAAAGCGUGGGGAGCAAACGGG